Molecule: non-coding RNA, 78 nt
Organism: Podarcis lilfordi (Lilford's wall lizard)
Lineage: Eukaryota; Metazoa; Chordata; Lepidosauria; Squamata; Lacertidae
Source: the annotation of a GenBank genome assembly
GCCUUAGCAGAAUGAAGGCAUGCUAAUUGUGUCUGGCUGUUAACCAGAAGGUUGGUGGUUCAAGCCCACCCAGGGACU